CAGACACAACCUUCAUAAAACAAGUACUAGAUCAAAUACAUGUUUAAGAAAGAAGGUAGACUUUACUCAGGGAGACUCGAAGUCCCAGCUUGGGUCACUCAGAUGCAGACCUGAGGAGCGGAGAAGCAGGCGAGCUGAGAUAUGAAGUUAUGAGUUCCGGACCCAGGCUGCCUCCAAGGAAAAGCAGUGGUGUUUCAGACAGAGGUGGUGUAGGGGCGCAAAUAAUUCUGCUAGAUCAAGAUGGUGAACAGCCCAUGCGACCCAUGGCACGCUGCCUGAGACUUCACGUUCUCUGCAAAUAAUAAGCCACAGGUAGCUGCUGGACCACAGUCCAAAGGAUGCUACAGGCUGACAGAUCCAGCACCAGGCUCCCCAUCCACCCA
Molecule: long non-coding RNA, 383 nt
Organism: Mastomys coucha (southern multimammate mouse)
Lineage: Eukaryota; Metazoa; Chordata; Mammalia; Rodentia; Muridae
Exons: 3
Source: RefSeq, a predicted model, not a curated record